GUGGGAUCCACUAGUGGUUCUGGGGGGGUAGUGCUUUUGUGACAACAAUUUUGUGCCACCCCCCUAAAUGUGGAGUUUGAAAUUAUUUUUACAUAACUAAUUUUUGCUAUCAUUCUUUUUUUUACAUCCAUUAUUAGACAGUGGCAGAUGAUGAUUAAUGAACAUGGUGUUCCUGCAAUGCAGUGAAUAAAACGAUAUGACAACGUCUAAUGUAGCUGGCCCCUCUAACAGUACAACUGGCCCAGCUUGGCCCCCCCAGUUGAAAUGGUCUAGAACCACCACUAGUAGGAUCUUCCACAGCCCAGAGGUGCAGAAAUCGUACUGCCAGAGGAGUUGGGGAGAUCAGAAUGGGCAUUCUGUUUCAUGUUGGUAUUGUCAAGUGCUAGCCCGUCUCCAGAUCCAACCUGACACCAGGGUUGUGUUCAUUGGGCACCAAAUGGAAGAACAUCAACUGAAAUGCGAAGAGAGAGAGAGGAGGAGGAGGAUGAGAGGAAGAGGAGGAGAGCACUGAAGACGUCUGCUUACAACCUGCAUGGACACCCUAGAAGACUUUCCUUCAGAAUUGGAACACCUUUUGUUUCUCCUCUGCUGCCUCUACAGGUACUCAGCCGCCAAUCACCAUCUUCC
Molecule: long non-coding RNA, 627 nt
Organism: Oncorhynchus tshawytscha (Chinook salmon)
Lineage: Eukaryota; Metazoa; Chordata; Actinopteri; Salmoniformes; Salmonidae
Source: Ensembl